GAUGAACGCUGGCGGCGUGCUUAACACAUGCAAGUCGAACGGAAAGGCCCAAGCUUGCUUGGGUACUCGAGUGGCGAACGGGUGAGUAACACGUGGGUGAUCUGCCCUGCACUUCGGGAUAAGCCUGGGAAACUGGGUCUAAUACCGGAUAGGACCACUUCUUGGAUGUUGUGGUGGAAAGUUUUUUCGGUGUGGGAUGAGCUCGCGGCCUAUCAGCUUGUUGGUGGGGUAAUGGCCUACCAAGGCGUCGACGGGUAGCCGGCCUGAGAGGGUGUACGGCCACAUUGGGACUGAGAUACGGCCCAGACUCCUACGGGAGGCAGCAGUGGGGAAUAUUGCACAAUGGGCGCAAGCCUGAUGCAGCGACGCCGCGUGGGGGAUGACGGCCUUCGGGUUGGAAACUCCUUUCGCUAGGGGCGAAGCGUUUUGUGACGGUACCUGGAGAAGAAGCACCGGCUAACUACGUG
RNAcentral lists this ribosomal RNA (467 nucleotides) under uncultured bacterium. RNAcentral's name for it is "partial 16S ribosomal RNA". It matches the Rfam family "Bacterial small subunit ribosomal RNA", at positions 28 to 507 of the family's 1533-position model. The record is from RNAcentral.